AAGAUCCUGAAGUGUUCGUUUAGGUUUUAUAAUCAAACCUACAUUUGGUUCACGGGAUUUCGGGUUUCCAUCGCCUAUGUCAAGCCUCCUCGAGAGGAAGACAGAAGCAGGAAUAGAAAACCCACCUAUCUGAGGAUAGGUUGUGAAUUAAAAAACCUGACGACACAUUCGGGAUUUUU
RNAcentral lists this non-coding RNA (179 nucleotides) under Bacillota bacterium. RNAcentral describes it as "6S RNA". It matches the Rfam family "6S / SsrS RNA". From Rfam's summary of the family: E. coli 6S RNA was the first non coding RNA to be sequenced, but its function was unknown until recently. Lineage: Bacteria; Bacillati; Bacillota. RNAcentral also lists the same sequence under 2 other names. The record is from RNAcentral.